UAAGCCAUGCAUGUCUAAGUAUAAACGCUUCUAUACUGUGAAACUGCGAAUGGCUCAUUAAAUCAGUUAUAGUUUAUUUGAUGGUUCCUUGCUACUUGGAUAACCGUAGUAAUUCUAGAGCUAAUACAUGCAGAAAGUCCCGACUUGCGGAAGGGAUGUAUUUAUUAGAUCCAAAACCAGUGCGAGUCCCCUUGCGGGUCUCGGUUGCUCGGUGAUUCAUGAUAACUGCUCGAAUCGCAGGGCCCUAGUGCCGGCGAUGAUCCAUUCAAAUUUCUGCCCUAUCAACUUUCGAUGGUACGGUAGUGGCCUACCAUGGUUGCAACGGGUGACGGAGAAUUAGGGUUCGAUUCCGGAGAGGGAGCCUGAGAAACGGCUACCACAUCCAAGGAAGGCAGCAGGCGCGCAAAUUACCCAAUCCCGACUCGGGGAGGUAGUGACAAUAAAUAACAAUGCCGGGCUAUCGUAGUCUGGCAAUUGGAAUGAGUACAACCUAAACCCCUUAACGAGGAACAAUUGGAGGGCAAGUCUGGUGCCAGCAGCCGCGGUAAUUCCAGCUCCAAUAGCGUAUAUUAAAGUUGUUGCAGUUAAAAAGCUCGUAGUUGGAUUUCGGGGCAGUCCGUCUGGUCCGCCGCGAGGCGAGCACUGGUCGGGCGCCCUUCCUCUCGAAGGCCCCGACUGCUCUUGGUUGCAGUGGUCGGGGAGUUCGGGACGUUUACUUUGAAAAAAUUAGAGUGUUCAAGGCAGGCCGUCGCCUGAAUACAUUAGCAUGGAAUAAUGAAAGAGGACCUCGGUCCUAUUUUGUUGGUUUCCAGGGCCGAAGUAAUGAUUAAGAGGGACAGUUGGGGGCAUUCGUAUUUAAUUGUCAGAGGUGAAAUUCUCGGAUUUAUGAAAGACGAACAACUGCGAAAGCAUUUGCCAAGGAUGUUUUCAUUAAUCAAGAACGAAAGUUGGGGGUUCGA
RNAcentral lists this ribosomal RNA (959 nucleotides) under Myrmekioderma rea. RNAcentral describes it as "SSU rRNA". It matches the Rfam family "Eukaryotic small subunit ribosomal RNA", at positions 45 to 1001 of the family's 1831-position model. The record is from RNAcentral. Lineage: Eukaryota; Metazoa; Porifera; Demospongiae; Axinellida; Heteroxyidae.